This 590-nucleotide ribosomal RNA is filed under the name uncultured bacterium. RNAcentral's name for it is "partial 16S ribosomal RNA". It matches the Rfam family "Bacterial small subunit ribosomal RNA", at positions 355 to 1375 of the family's 1533-position model. The record is from RNAcentral.
UGGGGAAUUUUGGACAAUGGGCGAAAGCCUGAUCCAGCAAUGCCGCGUGUGUGAAGAAGGCCUUCGGGUUGUAAAGCACUUUUGUCCGGAAAGAAAUCCUUGGCUCUAAUACAGUCGGGGGAUGACGGUACCGGAAGAAUAAGCACCGGCUAACUACGUGCCAGCAGCCGCGGUAAUACGUAGGGUGCAAGCGUUAAUCGGAAUUACUGGGCGUAAAGCGUGCGCAGGCGGUUUGCUAAGACCGAUGUGAAAUCCCCGGGCUCAACCUGGGAACUGCAUUGGUGACUGGCAGGCUAGAGUAUGGCAGAGGGGGGUAGAAUUCCACGUGUAGCAGUGAAAAUGCGUAGAGAUGUGGAGGAAUACCGAUGGCGAAGGCAGCCCCCUGGGCCAAUACUGACGCUCAUGCACGAAAGCGUGGGGAGCAAAACAGGAUUAGAUACCCUGGUAGUCCACGCCCUAAAACGAUGUCAACUAGUUGUUGGGGAUUCAUUUCCUUAGUAACGUAGCUAACGCGUGAAGUUGACCGCCUGGGGAGUACGGUCGCAAGAUUAAAAACUCAAAAUGAAUUGACGGGGUCAUAGCUGUUUCCU